RNAcentral lists this ribosomal RNA (104 nucleotides) under Erinaceus europaeus (western European hedgehog). The record is from RNAcentral. Lineage: Eukaryota; Metazoa; Chordata; Mammalia; Eulipotyphla; Erinaceidae.
GUCUAUGGCCAUACUAUUCUGAAUGUGCCUGAUCUCAUCUGAUAUCAGACACUAAGCAGAGUUAGGCCUGGUUAGUACUUGGAUGGGAAAAAAUAUCAUUGAAU